RNAcentral lists this long non-coding RNA (3344 nucleotides) under Salmo salar (Atlantic salmon). RNAcentral describes it as "lncRNA (ENSSSAG00000119849.1)". The record is from RNAcentral. Lineage: Eukaryota; Metazoa; Chordata; Actinopteri; Salmoniformes; Salmonidae.
GGAAAAAGGGAGUGAGGGGGAAAAGGAGGGGUGGAGAGAGAGAGAGAAUAUGAGAGAUAGAGAGGGAGGGAGAAAGAGAGGGAAAGAGAGAGAGGGUGAGAGAGAGAGCGGGUGAGAGAGGGAGAGGGAGAGAGAGAGAGGGAGAGAGAGGGAGAGAGAGAGAGAGCGAGAGAGAGAGAGAGGGAGAGAGGGAGAGAGAGUGUGUGAGAGAGAGAGAGCAGGUGAGAGGGUGAGAGAGAGAGAGAGAGCAGGUGAGAGAGGGAGAGGGAGAGAGAGAGAGAGAGAGAGGGAGAGAGAGGGAGAGAGAGGGAGAGUGAAAGAGAAGAGAAAAGAGAGAAAAGAGGGAGGGAGGAGGGCUAUGGGUGGAGCUGCAGAGGAACAGUCCAGGGUUUGUUUGCUGAUAUUAUUUUAAUGUCAGAACCCUGUUCCAAUGUAAGCAGCAUGGGAGUACUGGCCAUCACUUCAAUCAUAUCCAGGUCAAUAGCCGUACUGUUUUUGCCAUUGCCGUUAGACUUCUCAUUAAACGUGAAUCAAUAAAGGAAUUUGCAUCCUGGCAUCCCCCAGGCUGUCUGUGUUUAUGCUACUGUACAGUAAACGCUAAGGUGUGUUUCUCUAUAUACAAUAUAAUCUACAUAGAAUGUCAUUACCUGUCAAUUAUCCUUAUGACCUUGAUCAAACCUCUGUGGUUCUUCACAUGUUAAACAAUGCCAGACUGUUUGGUGAGUGUCAGAAGUUGGAUGAUGCUGUAUUCACAUUAGUUGUAUAAACAUUCCACACAAAAAUGGAUUCCCAAUAACUAGGCCAAGAACAAAGUAGUCGGCAUAUUCACAAUUAAGAGUAGUCAUUGGUCCCAUUCAGUAGGCCUCGAUAAUAACAACGACGUCAGUACAGAUAAAACGACUGACAUCUUCCUUCACCACAAGAUCUCUAAUCAACGAUUCCCAAAGUGCUGACGCAGCAGUCGACUGCUGAACCAGGACAUGCUUGUGAUGUAGUCUAUAGUGCAUUCAGCCAUGCCUGUCUGGUUUCACCCAUUCUCCAAAGGCCAAGGCAAGGUCAGCAGUUGGUGGGUGGUCCAUGGUGAGUUAGAGAGAGAGGAGAGACAGAUUUGGAGAGAGAGAUAUGGGGAGGUGUAGAGAGGAUGGAGAGAGCGAGAGAAAGAGAGAGAGAGAGAUGGGGAGAGAGGGCAGAGUCGCUGUUGGAAGUUGCCACCAGAUGGAGGUGCUGCUGAGAACAGACCACCCAAGUGGAGCGUGUGUGAGGUUGACCCAGUUAAUUUUAUCACUGGAGUCAUUGGCUGCAUCCCAUAGGGACUAGGGUGCCAUUAGGGACGUAGCAAUGUCUCACCCAUAGGGGACAUGACAGAAAAGGGGGAUAUUGUAUUGAGGCUGUAGUUUUCCAGUAUGUUUCCAGUGUGUUUUCAGUGUGUUUCCAGUGUGUUUCCAGUGUGUUUCCAGUGUGUUUCCAGUGUGUAUCCAGUGUGUUUUCAGUGUUUCCAGUGUGUUUCCAGUAUGUUUCCAGUGUGUUUUCAGUGUGUUUCCAGUGUGUUUUCAGUAUGUUUCCAGUGUGUUUUCAGUGUGUUUCCAGUGUGUUUUCAGUGUUUCCAGUGUGUUUCCAGUGUGUUUUCAGUGUGUUUCCAGUGUGUUUUCAGUGUGUUUCCUGUGUGUUUUCAGUAUGUUUCCAGUGUGUUUUCAGUGUGUUUCCAGUGUGUUUCCAGUGUGUAUCCAGUGUGUUUUCAGUGUUUCCAGUGUGUUUCCAGUGUGUUUUCAGUGUGUUUUCAGUGUGUUUUCAGUGUGUUUUCAGGGGGAUUCCAGUGUGUUUUCAGUGUGUUUCCAGUGUGUUUUCAGUAUGUUUCCAGUGUGUUUUCAGGGUGUUUCCAGUGUGUUUUCAGUGUGUUUCCGGUGUGUUUUCAGUGUGUUUCCAGUGUGUUUUCAGUGUGUUUCCAGUGUGUUUCCAGUGUGAUUCCAAUGUGUUUUCAGUGUGUUUUCAGUGUGUUUCCAGUGUGUUUUCAGUAUGUUUCCAGUGUGUUUUCAGUGUGUUUCCAGUGUGUUUUCAGGGGGAUUCCAGUGUGUUUUCAGCACAGGUCAUUGAGAUAAAGGCAUUGAAAAGGGUCCAGGGGACAUUCUGGUGUCGGGUAGUGUUUUCAAGAGGCAGGGAGGUGUAAAGAGAUCCAUUGUACUGUACGAUAACCACUCAGGUUUUUGCAGGUGUUGGUGUGUGGGGGGUAUUUGUGUUUGUUUGUGCCCAUUUUGUGCUGUGUCUGUGUGUGUUUAUGUGUGUCUGCGUACGCAAAUGUGUUUGAUUGUGCAAAUAUGUGUGCGUGCAGGCAUGCGCACGUGAAGUGUGUGUAUGUGGUUUACAAAAGAUGGGCUGGUGGGUGGUAAUGUGGGUAAAAGACGCAAUGCUUCCUUCAUACAGCAUCCGUUAGAUCUGCUAGCUAUUCAGUCACUUACAUAACACCCCUGUAGUUCUAUCCUAUUACCUCCAACAGACACGCCAUUCAUACAGACAGUACUGCAGGUCUGUGGCCCCAGCUCUCCGACCAAUACCUGCGGCAUCAUGGAUAACCCUGGUGGAUUGUCUAGCCUCCUCUCCACUGAGACAUUGGGGAAGGAGUUUAUAGAACUGUUGGAAUUCGGACCCUCCAAAAACUAUUCUGUCUCAAAAUGUUGUUUUCUCUAGCCCUCCUCUUCCUGCUAACCCCGUUUCCCUCCCUUCAAACUCCAGUAACCUAUGAGAAAAGAAAUGCCACAGGAACAGGAAGUGAACCCAAACCCUACGUCCUACUCACCCUCUCCCUCACAAAACCAAAAACCGCAGCCACGCUCGUCAAAGUCACCAAAGAGACCCCUAAGCCCACUCCGAAAGUCCUAAGCCCAACUGCAGCCAAUCAGACACAUCCAGCCCCCACAAACCCCCUCAAACCUCCAACAGCCACGUUCAUCAAACUCACCAAAGAGACCCCUAAGCCCACUCCAAAAGCCCUAAGCCCAACUGCAGCCAAUCAGACACAUCCAGCCCCCUCGACCCCCCUCAAGCCUCCAACAGCCACGUUCAUCAAACUCACCAAAGAGACCCCUAAGCCCACUCCAAAAGCCCUAAGCCCAACUGCAGCCAAUCAGACACAUCCAGCCCCCUCGACACCCCUCAAGCCUCCAAUAGCCACAUUCAUCAAACUCACCAAAGAGACCCCUAAGCCCACUCCAAAAGCCCUAAGCCCAACUGCAGCCAAUCAGACACAUCCUGCCCCCUCGACCCCCCUCAAGCCUCCAACAGCCAUGCUCGUCAAACUCACCAAAGAGACCCCUAAGCCCACUCCGAAAGCCCUAAGCCCAACUGCAGCC